AGUUUGAUCCUGGCUCAGGAUGAACGCUGGCGGCGUGCUUAACACAUGCAAGUCGAACGGGGAUGCCAUUUUCGAGGUGAUUAGUUUACUAAGAGCCAAGAUGUUGGCAUCUUAGUGGCGGACGGGUGAGUAACGCGUGGGUAACCUGCCUUAUACAGGGGGAUAACACUUAGAAAUAGGUGCUAAUACCGCAUAAGCGCACGGGGCUGCAUGGCCCAGUGUGAAAAACUCCGGUGGUAUAAGAUGGACCCGCGUCUGAUUAGCUUGUUGGCGGGGUAACGGCCCACCAAGGCGACGAUCAGUAGCCGGCCUGAGAGGGUGGACGGCCACAUUGGGACUGAGACACGGCCCAAACUCCUACGGGAGGCAGCAGUGGGGAAUAUUGGACAAUGGGGGGAACCCUGAUCCAGCGACGCCGCGUGAGUGAAGAAGUAUUUCGGUAUGUAAAGCUCUAUCAGCAGGGAAGAAAGAAAUGACGGUACCUGACUAAGAAGCCCCGGCUAACUACGUGCCAGCAGCCGCGGUAAUACGUANGGGGCAAGCGUUAGCCGGAUUUACUGGGUGUAAAGGGAGCGUAGACGGUUACGCAAGUCUGGAGUGAAAGGCGGGGGCCCAACCCCCGGACUGCUUUGGGAACUGUAUAACUGGAGUGCAGGAGAGGUAAGUGGAAUUCCUAGUGUAGCGGUGAAAUGCGUAGAUA
RNAcentral lists this ribosomal RNA (700 nucleotides) under uncultured bacterium. Its description in RNAcentral is "bacterial SSU rRNA". It matches the Rfam family "Bacterial small subunit ribosomal RNA", at positions 10 to 696 of the family's 1533-position model. The record is from RNAcentral.